CCUACGGGAGGCAGCAGUGGGGAAUAUUGCUCAAUGGGGGAAACCCUGAAGCAGCGACGCCGCGUGAAGGAAGAAGGCUUUCGGAUUGUAAAACUCUUUUUUUAGGGAAGAAAAUGACGGUAUCUGACUAAUAAGCACCGGCUAACUCCGUGCCAGCAGCCGCGGUAAUACGGAGGGUGCAAGCGUUAUUCGGAUUCACUGGGUGUAAAGGGGGCGUAGGCGGUUUAGCAAGUCAGAGGUGAAAUCCCAAGGCUCAACCAUAGAACUGCAUUUGAAACUGUUAAGCUAGAGAUGGGGAGAGGUAGGCGGAAUGGAUGGUGUAGGGGUGAAAUCCGUAGAGAUCAAGAGGAAUACCGAUUGCGAAGGCGGCUUACUAGAAUAUAACUGACGUUGAGGCACGAAAGCGUGGGGAGCAAACAGGAUUAGAUACCCUUGUAGUC
RNAcentral lists this ribosomal RNA (440 nucleotides) under uncultured bacterium. RNAcentral's name for it is "partial 16S ribosomal RNA". It matches the Rfam family "Bacterial small subunit ribosomal RNA", at positions 338 to 795 of the family's 1533-position model. The record is from RNAcentral.